This 433-nucleotide unclassified non-coding RNA is filed under the name soil metagenome. RNAcentral describes it as "partial contains 5.8S ribosomal RNA, internal transcribed spacer 2, and large subunit ribosomal RNA". The stretch from base 1 to 120 matches the Rfam family "5.8S ribosomal RNA", at positions 35 to 154 of the family's 154-position model. The record is from RNAcentral.
GAUGAAGAACGCAGCGAAAUGCGAUACGUAAUGUGAAUUGCAGAAUUCAGUGAAUCAUCGAAUCUUUGAACGCAUAUUGCGCUCUCUGGUAUUCCGGAGAGCAUGCUUGUUUGAGUAUCAGUAAACACCUCAACUUCCAUAUCUUUUUUUGAAAUGGGAGUUGGACUUGAGUGAUCCCAACGCUUUUCCUCACCGAAAAGUGGCGGGUUACUUGAAAUGCAGGUGCAGCUGGACUUUUCUCUGAGCUAUAAGCAUAUCUAUUUAAUCUGCCUAAAAAACAGAUUAUUACCUUUGCUGCAGCUAACAUAAAGGAGAUUAGUUCUUGUGCUGACUGAUGCAGGAUUCACAAAGACAGCUUCGGCCGACUUUGUAAACUCGAUCUCAAAUCAAGUAAGACUACCCGCUGAACUUAAGCAUAUCAAUAAGCGGAGGA